Molecule: transfer RNA, 73 nt
Filed under: Candidatus Schekmanbacteria bacterium
Lineage: Bacteria; Candidatus Schekmaniibacteriota
Description: tRNA-Val
Rfam family: tRNA
About the family: Transfer RNA (tRNA) molecules are approximately 80 nucleotides in length. Their secondary structure includes four short double-helical elements and three loops (D, anti-codon, and T loops).
Source: RNAcentral
GGGCGGGUAGCUCAGCUGGGAGAGCGUCGGCCUUACAAGCCGAAUGUCGCAGGUUCGAUCCCUGUCCUGCCCA